Molecule: ribosomal RNA, 1373 nt
Filed under: uncultured bacterium
Lineage: Bacteria
Description: bacterial SSU rRNA
Rfam family: Bacterial small subunit ribosomal RNA
Source: RNAcentral
GAUGAACGCUGGCGGCGUGCCUAAUACAUGCAAGUCGAGCGAACAGAUAAGGAGCUUGCUCCUUUGAAGUUAGCGGCGGACGGGUGAGUAACACGUGGGUAACCUACCUAUAAGACUGGGAUAACUUCGGGAAACCGGAGCUAAUACCGGAUAACAUUUAGAACCGCAUGGUUCUAAAGUGAAAGAUGGUUUUGCUAUCACUUAUAGAUGGACCCGCGCCGUAUUAGCUAGUUGGUAAGGUAACGGCUUACCAAGGCGACGAUACGUAGCCGACCUGAGAGGGUGAUCGGCCACACUGGAACUGAGACACGGUCCAGACUCCUACGGGAGGCAGCAGUAGGGAAUCUUCCGCAAUGGGCGAAAGCCUGACGGAGCAACGCCGCGUGAGUGAUGAAGGGUUUCGGCUCGUAAAACUCUGUUAUUAGGGAAGAACAAAUGUGUAAGUAACUGUGCACAUCUUGACGGUACCUAAUCAGAAAGCCACGGCUAACUACGUGCCAGCAGCCGCGGUAAUACGUAGGUGGCAAGCGUUAUCCGGAAUUAUUUGGGCGUAAAGCGCGCGUAGGCGGUUUCUUAAGUCUGAUGUGAAAGCCCACGGCUCAACCGUGGAGGGUCAUUGGAAACUGGGAAACUUGAGUGCAGAAGAGGAAAGUGGAAUUCCAUGUGUAGCGGUGAAAUGCGCAGAGAUAUGGAGGAACACCAGUGGCGAAGGCGACUUUCUGGUCUGUAACUGACGCUGAUGUGCGAAAGCGUGGGGAUCAAACAGGAUUAGAUACCCUGGUAGUCCACGCCGUAAACGAUGAGUGCUAAGUGUUAGGGGGUUUCCGCCCCUUAGUGCUGCAGCUAACGCAUUAAGCACUCCGCCUGGGGAGUACGACCGCAAGGUUGAAACUCAAAGGAAUUGACGGGGACCCGCACGAGCGGUGGAGCAUGUGGUUUAAUUCGAAGCAACGCGAAGAACCUUACCAAAUCUUGACAUCCUUUGAAAACUCUAGAGAUGGAGCCUUCCCCUUCGGGGGACAAAGUGACAGGUGGUGCAUGGUUGUCGUCAGCUCGUGUCGUGAGAUGUUGGGUUAAGUCCCGCAACGAGCGCAACCCUUAAGCUUAGUUGCCAUCAUUAAGUUGGGCACUCUAGGUUGACUGCCGGUGACAAACCGGAGGAAGGUGGGGAUGACGUCAAAUCAUCAUGCCCCUUAUGAUUUGGGCUACACACGUGCUACAAUGGACAAUACAAAGGGCAGCUAAACCGCGAGGUCAUGCAAAUCCCAUAAAGUUGUUCUCAGUUCGGAUUGUAGUCUGCAACUCGACUACAUGAAGCUGGAAUCGCUAGUAAUCGUAGAUCAGCAUGCUACGGUGAAUACGUUCCCGGGUCU